GGGGACAGCUGCCAUGAAAACAGGCUGAGGCAGGAAAGGUCUCUUAACUCCUGGCUGUCAUGGAUUUUGACCAGCUCCAACAUGUCUGAUACUAAGCUGUACAUUACUCACUGGCUUUGUUAAUCACAUUAUAUCCUUUUAUGAAUUUUGAUAGAUAAAUCUCAUAAAAAAUUAGGAGUUUCCAUAUAUUUUUAAAUAAAAUAACUUACUUGUCAUUUAACAACAAAUAUAAAGGGUUCAGUGGAAACACAGGAAGUUUUACUCAACUGUUUUGCACUCUAGACAUAAAGGCUAAUAGGCAUAAACUGUUUUUAGGGGAGAGGGAAGGGGACUAGAAGAGUUUUGGUCUGUCCUCAGGAUUUCCCCACCUGGAUCCAGUUGUUGUAUUGUUUCUGCCGAUACAGACAGCACUGUACACAGCUGUGCUGUUUGUGUUCUGCCUCACGGGCAACUGUGACUUGAAGGUUGCAAUUAGGCUUGAAUCAGGGCCUGUGGAGGGACUUCACCUCAGCUGGGUCCAAUCAGCACUCUGGCUCCCUUGGUAGGCAAAAAAAUGACUGGUUCAUGGGAGAGCUUGUUGUUCUGGACACCCAUUUAGGAUGAGACAUGCUCAAGACUCCACUGCUCACACUGACCAGGUCCCUGCUUGCUAUUAUUGUUUAUUAUUGCCAUUAUUAUUUAUUAUGCCAUACCCAGAUGUCACACAUGUCUCUUGCACUGUAGCUGCCAUAGCCACUUGCACUAGAGCUGCAGCUCCACUUGCUAAUCUUGCUGGGCUGUACUUGCAAGUCUGGCUGAAAAGUCACUCCAAGUGUAGAAGGUGUCUAUAGGGCCUCAGCAUUUGGCUGUUGUUCUGAGAGACAGGAGAGCUACACUGGGGAGGCAGUGAGCAGUGGGAGCUGGGACUGCCCUGUUCCUUGCCAGCUCCCCCAGACCUGCGGGAGCGCACAGGAGAGCAGAAGGAACAGAGGGGUGUGCAGAGCACCACAACAACCCCAGUGCAGUUUCAUCUUGUUGAGACAUCUCCUGGGAUAUCAGCAGCCUCGCUCCAGACUUUGCUGCUGAUCACCCACAGCCUUUUGGUUCCCCUGUCCGUGUUACAACGCAGCAGGAAGACUCAGAGGACACAUAGUGAGGCACCAAACCCUGUUGAGACCAGCAACUAAGGACUAAAAUGCCUUUUGUUUGGUGGAAGCUGUUCUGGGCCAUGGUGAGAGCUCCUAAUAAGAGAUGUCAGAUAGUCGUGCAGCUCAGGGCAACUAUUAGAUGUGACACUCCUGUGUGCUCUGACUUGUUUGCUUUAGAGGAAGACUUUUUAAUCACACUGGUAUUUAUACUGUUUUGCAAUGUUUUUAUUGCUAUUCUGAGUCUCCAUUCAGGGCAAAGUGUCUCUGUUUUGCUAGGCACAACUUAAUGCUGUUAUUAUCUUCUGAUUUUCUGGAAAGCUGAUUGAUUUUCUUCUGUAAUAAGGAUCUUGAGACACUGACAGUUGCUACUAAAGGAAGCAAACUGAAAACUUCCCUUUCUCUAAUGCUGAAAUACACAGGUUUUUUUCCUGGGGGAGGUGCUGGAGUGAGUGACUGCUGCUUGUUUCAGGCCUCCUUUGCCUGAGGCUCCUAUGCCUCAGGCAAAGGAGGAAAGAUCCUACAGAAACAUAUUAGAAACGUACACAGACAAAGUGGUAUUUGUGAAUGACUUGGUGUCUUCCAGGCAAAAUAGUUUAUAAGCAGGAUAGCAAUUAGACUAAUGAUUCAUUCUUUUUGUAAGUCUGUACUAUUGUGUUAUGUUUGAUCCAUAGUCAUGCCCCCAUGUCCCAUAAAGGUCUGCUGUCUUGGGUGAUGUGUAAACAUGGUGAGGUAUAUAACAGGCAAGAUUAGACUUAUUCCAGUCAGUUUUUGACUAAUAAAUAUUGUGAUGGUACAUUUUAAUGAUGUGAAUGGAGAAACUAUCCCAUGGAAGGAUAUUAAUUCAAAAUAGCCAAAGGGGAAAGGAACUUCUAACGAGAUAUACACAGCCCUGAAAUCAGGGUUUCCCGUCUUAAGUUGAUGGAUUUGUCACUUCCUCCCUUGGCUCUUUCCCAUAUGUAGAUGCCAAAUGAAACAAAAGUAAUAACUGCAGAUUAAAAUCUUCCUAGAGAAUUAGAAGAAUCAAAACUCUCCAUGCAGAGCAUUAGCAAAGUAUCUCCAGGAAAAUUUAAUUUCAGCAUAAAAUGUAAGAAUGUUUCUUACUAGAAAAAGAAAAUAUUUUAAAUAAGAAAAGGAAAGUAUGACAUGUAAAGUCAGCAGGAACUUCUGUAGAAACAGGACUGGGUUAUGGCUCAAUCAGGGAUCAUCUCAGAUGUUUCUUCCAGCUAAUUCUGGAAUAACUUCUUCUUCUGCUAAAACAAUGCAAAUUUGAGAUGAGAAACCAGGGGGAAGGAGAAUUCCUGAAAUGGAAUAAAUACUUGGUAGUUUCUAUACUUUGGAAUUAGAGGGAAUUCUCUACUAAAAAUGCUUUUAAAAGCAUCUUUUCAAAGGUAUUUUUCAAACCAAUAAGUAUCGGUUUGAAAACAAGUAUUGACUGCUUACAUUCUAUAGUUAAACAAUGGAAUGGAUCCAAACUUUGUGGCCAUAGAGCAGAAUGUCAGCUCACUCAUGGGGAAACUUCUCCUUGCAACAUCUUUCCUUAAUGUCAGCUUCCUUCCUCCAUGUCUGUAGCUGUUUCCUAUUCCAUAGGAGGUGUUGGUUAUGAGUAUGAUUCAGACCAGAAAUACCUUGGUUUCCCACAGUAGAAAUAAGUUUCAUGGAAAUGUCCCAGACACACUGGUGAUGAGUCUUUAAGCUACAUGGCAGCUACCAGUGCUCUGCUUGGCUUUCUCUCCAAGUUCUCUGCAUCCCUGUUUGCAUGUGACCUCCAACUCCUCCUGGCUUUCUGCUUCCUUUUGUUUCCUUUUGCUUUCUUUUGCUUUUUUCCUUAUGUUAUUCUUAGGGCUCCUUCUUUUUGCUCUCCAACAAGGCAGCUCCAUCUGGCUCCUUCUAGUGCUUAUUCUGUUUCAUGGUUUCCUCAUGUGUCCCUCAUACUGUGCCAAGUAGGAGCAUACAGGUACUGGGCAGUUCUCUUAUUGUUUGCAAUAAUAAGAAGGGGAGUAUUAUAUGGCCCUUUUAUAUGACAUUUCUUGAAGGAUUACAAAGCUCUUCCUGCUGUGGUGCUAAAAUGCUCUCAGUCCACCUCAGGCUGUACAUCCCUGCAUGCCUCUCCUCACAAACAGCUCCAUCCUGUAAUAAAGGAAGUACCUGGAAACUGUCCAUUUGUAGGAUAUAUAACACUUGAGUGCUUUUUGCUUCAGUAUUGCCUCCAUUUUGCUUCUACCUGCUCCUGCCUCUCUCUUUUCUCCACAGUAUUUUCCAUGCUUUGAGCCUGGCCUCACUUUCUCUGCCUGUUCAUUAAUUCUAUGUCUCUUGGUCAGGUCCUGGCUCUUGACAGUUUGUACAAACCAAGUGACUUCCUUCUCUCCAGCCCUCUGCUGAAGUUCAGGAUCUCUCCUAUGUCUCCUGCCUUCUCUCAUGCCACUCUUGGGCCUCUCAGCAGUCACAGAACAUCUUCUUCCAGUUCCAGCUAUCCAUAGCUGUGGAUUUAACAACUGUUUCUACAACCCAGUAACAGCAAUAAAUAUUUAUACUGGGUUAGCAUUUUAACUGGUACUCAGUUAUUACUGAAUUCUUGCACAAACUAAGAGGGAAGCAAUCUUUGGCCUGACAGCAAAAGCUGCUGAAGGUGGGUUCAGCAGUGCCUCAGGGCAGGUGUAUCAAAGGCUGUCUGUGCUGUGCUGAAGAACUCUGUCUUUUCAAGUGGGAACUUGAAAAUCUUUUGUGUACCAUAAAUUUACAGCCUGUAUUCUGCCCUCCUGUCACUGUGAUGCCAUACAAAUCCAAGCCAAAUAACUAAAGAAUUCAUACUGAAUACUAAGCACUGGUUAAAGAACAUCACAGAUUACAUGAACUCACAUAAACUACUAAGGUUACCAAAGAUUUAACUCAAAAAACAAUAUCUUACAGCUCUAAGACCGUAGCGUGAACUUCCCCAGGAAAUACCUCAUCACCUUCUGCCCUCACUAUAAACUCUGUUUCUUUGAUAUUACCUUCUUUUAAGUAUAUAAUAACAUGUGUGUGUUGUUAGAAAAUUCAAAUAAUUGUAUAUACUGGAAGAGAGAGUAAAAGAGAGCAAGCAUGUGAGAAGCUAAUCCCAGUGGGGAGCUCAGGAAGGAACUCAGAUGUGUUGAUGGAAUAUAUAAGUUUCAGUGGGGGAAGGAAGGAGUAGUUGAGUGGCUUGCCAGGAUGAAUAAAUGACUUUGUACUGAUGUGGGAAGGGACCCCACUCCAGGCUUUUUGCUUGACCAGUUUUUGCAAUUAAGAAAAGAAACCCCCCUAUCUUCCUACCAUAACAGGCACUAUUCAAAAUAAGACAUUAAUAACAAACACAAUGUCAUUUACCGCAGUUUAACCCUGAGGUGAAGGUAGAGAUAACAUUAUUCCUGCAGUAUUUCUUCCUGGUCUUCAGCUCUGGUCAAGUGCACAGCUCCUUAAUGGUGACAGUGGUAACUCCAGGGCUUGAUAAACUUGUUUUUAUCAGUGGAGUCAGAGCAUGUUAUUAGCAGAUGUAUAUGGAUUCUGUGUUUUGCUAUAGCACAUGUUUGUAUAGCCUUUUCUGACAGUUAAAGAUGUGCUAAGUUUCCUUGACAGAAAACAGACAUUUUAAUAAAAUUGCUGCCAUUUAACUAGAAACUCCUGGGCAAAGCUCUAUGGGAAACUGUUCCCAUGACCUUCGGGGGGGAAGAAAUGUUUGUAUUUUAGUAGGGCUCCAUUCUGUAAAAAAAAAGUCCUUACUCUGCAGUAUCCAGAUUUUUUUAACACAAUCCUAAUGAUGCAAGUCCUGAGGAGCUGCAUAUGCCAUUUGCAGAAACAUAUUGUUAAUUACACUAGGCUUUACUUUCAGAUAAAGAAACUUUGAACUAUUUCAGAACAAUGAGUUUGGAA
Cyanistes caeruleus (blue tit) is the source of this 5012-nucleotide non-coding RNA. The record is from RefSeq and is a predicted model, not a curated record. NCBI's taxonomy places the organism in Eukaryota, Metazoa, Chordata, Aves, Passeriformes, Paridae.